Molecule: long non-coding RNA, 476 nt
Organism: Pseudoliparis swirei
Lineage: Eukaryota; Metazoa; Chordata; Actinopteri; Perciformes; Liparidae
Exons: 3
Source: RefSeq, a predicted model, not a curated record
ACAUGGACCGCGAGGAGCCUCCGGUGUCUGUCCCCGUGUCUCCAGGAGAAAUGAUGAGACUGUUGGUGAAGCAGCAAGUCCACGCGGCCGUUGAAGAGUCUUUUGGGCUGUUGGACACAUUGACAGCAGCUUAUGAGGACACCGUGUCUCAGUUGAGAGAACAAUGGCGACACACAUCAGAGCACCAUGGCUCGCCACUGGGAGAUCUGGGGAGGUGGAGGAUGCCGAGAAUGGAGACCCACCCCCGAAGAAAGGGAGGAGAGGAAGGAAGAGGAAGAUGAGGAGCAGGAUAGAUGAGGAUGACAGCGGUCAGGUUUUUGAGCUGAUACAAAUUUGUAUCAGAUGAAGAUGGCGAGCUACCCACGAGUUGGAUGAACAUGAUGACUGCCCACUAAGACAACGUUUCUUUUUCAUUUUAAAUAUGUGUACUUGAUUUAAGUUGUUCUUUAAGUUCAGUAAAAACCCUUAAAUCUCAA